This 2078-nucleotide ribosomal RNA is filed under the name Escherichia coli. RNAcentral describes it as "partial 23S ribosomal RNA". It matches the Rfam family "Bacterial large subunit ribosomal RNA", at positions 418 to 2481 of the family's 2925-position model. The record is from RNAcentral. Lineage: Bacteria; Pseudomonadati; Pseudomonadota; Gammaproteobacteria; Enterobacterales; Enterobacteriaceae.
CGGGACACGUGGUAUCCUGUCUGAAUAUGGGGGGACCAUCCUCCAAGGCUAAAUACUCCUGACUGACCGAUAGUGAACCAGUACCGUGAGGGAAAGGCGAAAAGAACCCCGGCGAGGGGAGUGAAAAAGAACCUGAAACCGUGUACGUACAAGCAGUGGGAGCACGCUUAGGCGUGUGACUGCGUACCUUUUGUAUAAUGGGUCAGCGACUUAUAUUCUGUAGCAAGGUUAACCGAAUAGGGGAGCCGAAGGGAAACCGAGUCUUAACUGGGCGUUAAGUUGCAGGGUAUAGACCCGAAACCCGGUGAUCUAGCCAUGGGCAGGUUGAAGGUUGGGUAACACUAACUGGAGGACCGAACCGACUAAUGUUGAAAAAUUAGCGGAUGACUUGUGGCUGGGGGUGAAAGGCCAAUCAAACCGGGAGAUAGCUGGUUCUCCCCGAAAGCUAUUUAGGUAGCGCCUCGUGAAUUCAUCUCCGGGGGUAGAGCACUGUUUCGGCAAGGGGGUCAUCCCGACUUACCAACCCGAUGCAAACUGCGAAUACCGGAGAAUGUUAUCACGGGAGACACACGGCGGGUGCUAACGUCCGUCGUGAAGAGGGAAACAACCCAGACCGCCAGCUAAGGUCCCAAAGUCAUGGUUAAGUGGGAAACGAUGUGGGAAGGCCCAGACAGCCAGGAUGUUGGCUUAGAAGCAGCCAUCAUUUAAAGAAAGCGUAAUAGCUCACUGGUCGAGUCGGCCUGCGCGGAAGAUGUAACGGGGCUAAACCAUGCACCGAAGCUGCGGCAGCGACGCUGAUGCGUUGUUGGGUAGGGGAGCGUUCUGUAAGCCUGUGAAGGUGUGCUGUGAGGCAUGCUGGAGGUAUCAGAAGUGCGAAUGCUGACAUAAGUAACGAUAAAGCGGGUGAAAAGCCCGCUCGCCGGAAGACCAAGGGUUCCUGUCCAACGUUAAUCGGGGCAGGGUGAGUCGACCCCUAAGGCGAGGCCGAAAGGCGUAGUCGAUGGGAAACAGGUUAAUAUUCCUGUACUUGGUGUUACUGCGAAGGGGGGACGGAGAAGGCUAUGUUGGCCGGGCGACGGUUGUCCCGGUUUAAGCGUGUAGGCUGGUUUUCCAGGCAAAUCCGGAAAAUCAAGGCUGAGGCGUGAUGACGAGGCACUACGGUGCUGAAGCAACAAAUGCCCUGCUUCCAGGAAAAGCCUCUAAGCAUCAGGUAACAUCAAAUCGUACCCCAAACCGACACAGGUGGUCAGGUAGAGAAUACCAAGGCGCUUGAGAGAACUCGGGUGAAGGAACUAGGCAAAAUGGUGCCGUAACUUCGGGAGAAGGCACGCUGAUAUGUAGGUGAAGCGACUUGCUCGUGGAGCUGAAAUCAGUCGAAGAUACCAGCUGGCUGCAACUGUUUAUUAAAAACACAGCACUGUGCAAACACGAAAGUGGACGUAUACGGUGUGACGCCUGCCCGGUGCCGGAAGGUUAAUUGAUGGGGUCAGCGCAAGCGAAGCUCUUGAUCGAAGCCCCGGUAAACGGCGGCCGUAACUAUAACGGUCCUAAGGUAGCGAAAUUCCUUGUCGGGUAAGUUCCGACCUGCACGAAUGGCGUAAUGAUGGCCAGGCUGUCUCCACCCGAGACUCAGUGAAAUUGAACUCGCUGUGAAGAUGCAGUGUACCCGCGGCAAGACGGAAAGACCCCGUGAACCUUUACUAUAGCUUGACACUGAACAUUGAGCCUUGAUGUGUAGGAUAGGUGGGAGGCUUUGAAGUGUGGACGCCAGUCUGCAUGGAGCCGGCCUUGAAAUACCACCCUUUAAUGUUUGAUGUUCUAACGUUGACCCGUGAUCCGGGUUGCGGACAGUGUCUGGUGGGUAGUUUGACUGGGGCGGUCUCCUCCUAAAGAGUAACGGAGGAGCACGAAGGUUGGCUAAUCCUGGUCGGACAUCAGGAGGUUAGUGCAAUGGCAUAAGCCAGCUUGACUGCGAGCGUGACGGCGCGAGCAGGUGCGAAAGCAGGUCAUAGUGAUCCGGUGGUUCUGAAUGGAAGGGCCAUCGCUCAACGGAUAAAAGGUACUCCGGGGAUAACAGG